UACGUAGGGGGCUAGCGUUGUCCGGAAUCAUUGGGCGUAAAGCGCGUGUAGGCGGUCCGGUAAGUCCGCUGUGAAAGUCGGGGGCUCAACCCUCGAAUGCCGGUGGAUACUGUCGGGCUAGAGUGCGGAAGAGGCGAGUGGAAUUCCUGGUGUAGCGGUGAAAUGCGCAGAUAUCAGGAGGAACACCAAUGGCGAAGGCAGCUCGCUGGGACGGUACUGACGCUGAGACGCGAAAGCGUGGGGAGCGAACAGG
This 253-nucleotide ribosomal RNA is filed under the name uncultured bacterium. RNAcentral's name for it is "partial 16S ribosomal RNA". It matches the Rfam family "Bacterial small subunit ribosomal RNA", at positions 524 to 776 of the family's 1533-position model. The record is from RNAcentral.